UACGAGGGGGGCGAGCGUUGUUCGGAAUUAUUGGGCGUAAAGGGUGCGUAGGCGGCCUGACAAGUCUGAUGUGAAAUCCCUGGGCUCAACCCAGGGCCUGCAUCGGAAACUGUCGGGCUUGAGUAUGGGAGAGGUGAGUGGAAUUUCCGGUGUAGCGGUGAAAUGCGUAGAUAUCGGAAGGAACACCUGUGGCGAAAGCGGCUCACUGGACCAAUUACUGACGCUGAGGCACGAAAGCUAGGGGAGCAAACAGGG
RNAcentral lists this ribosomal RNA (255 nucleotides) under uncultured bacterium. RNAcentral describes it as "partial 16S ribosomal RNA". It matches the Rfam family "Bacterial small subunit ribosomal RNA", at positions 524 to 777 of the family's 1533-position model. The record is from RNAcentral.